This 700-nucleotide ribosomal RNA is filed under the name uncultured fungus. RNAcentral describes it as "eukaryotic LSU rRNA". The stretch from base 187 to 341 matches the Rfam family "5.8S ribosomal RNA". The record is from RNAcentral. Lineage: Eukaryota; Fungi.
CGAGUUGUUGCUGGUCCUCAAACGGGGGCAUGUGCACGCUCUGUUCACACAUCCACUCACACCUGUGCACCCUCUGUAGUUCUAUGGCCUGGGGGACACUGUUCCCCUUGCUGUGGUUCUACGUCUUUACACACACACUGUAAUAAAGUUUCAUGGAAUGUAGUCGCGUUUAACGCAAUACAAUACAACUUUCAGCAACGGAUCUCUUGGCUCUCGCAUCGAUGAAGAACGCAGCGAAAUGCGAUAAGUAAUGUGAAUUGCAGAAUUCAGUGAAUCAUCGAAUCUUUGAACGCACCUUGCGCCCUUUGGCUAUUCCGAAGGGCAUGCCUGUUUGAGUAUCAUGAACACCUCAACUCUCAUGGCUUGCCAUGAUGAGCUUGGACUUUGGGGGUCUUGCUGGCCAGCGGUCGGCUCCUCUCAAAUGAAUCAGCUUGCCAGUGUUUGGCGGCACCACAGGUGUGAUAACUAUCUACGCUUGUGGUUUCCUGCCAGGCAUCCUUCAGCAAUGGAGGUUCACUGGAGCUCAUAAAUGUCUCUCCAUAGCGAGGACAACUUCUUGAAUGUUUGAUCUCAAAUCAGGUAGGACUACCCGCUGAACUUAAGCAUAUCAAUAAGCGGAGGAAAAGAAACUAACAAGGAUUCCCCUAGUAACUGCGAGUGAAGCGGGAAGAGCUCAAAUUUAAAAUCUGGCGUGCCUCUG